UCCAAUGCUACGUGCAAUAACACAGAUGGAUCUUACAUAUGCAUAUGUGAUUCUGGAUAUAUAGGAGAUGGAUUUGACUGCAUUGAUGACGACGAAUGCCAAAGAGAUUCCCUUUGUGAUUCAAAUGCAUCUUGCAACAACACAGAAGGAUCAUACAUUUGCACAUGUAAUUUCGGAUAUAGUGGAGAUGGAUUUAAUUGCACAGAUGUAAACGAAUGUCUAACCGAAUACACAUGUCAUUCCAAUGCUACGUGCAAUAACACAGAUGGAUCUUAUAUCUGCACAUGUGAU
Molecule: long non-coding RNA, 291 nt
Organism: Dendronephthya gigantea
Lineage: Eukaryota; Metazoa; Cnidaria; Anthozoa; Malacalcyonacea; Nephtheidae
Exons: 3
Source: RefSeq, a predicted model, not a curated record